RNAcentral lists this unclassified non-coding RNA (1113 nucleotides) under Hevea brasiliensis (rubber tree). Lineage: Eukaryota; Viridiplantae; Streptophyta; Magnoliopsida; Malpighiales; Euphorbiaceae. The record is from RNAcentral.
CUCAUUUUUUUCAUCAAAAAAGAUUUAAUUUUAUCUGAAAUGGAGGAAUAUGACUUUGAUCAUAAAAUAGUAGAAGUAAAUGGGAUAAAUAUGCAUGUUGUUGAAAAAGGACAUGGUCCUUUUGUUCUAUUUAUCCAUGGUUUCCCAGAAUUAUGGUAUUCAUGGAGGCACCAAAUUAUAUUCAUGGCUAAACAUGGUUAUAGAGCCAUGGCUCCUGAUCUUCGUGGUUAUGGUGAUACAACAGGAGUACCCAAAGAUGAUCCAAGCAAGUUUAGCUCUUUAAGAGUUGUGGGUGACUUAGUGGAACUUUUAAAUACCAUUGUGUCUGAGGAAGAUAAAGUGUUUGUUGUUGGCCAUGAUUGGGGUGCUAAGAUUGCUUGGGAACUUUGUUUAUUGAGGCCAGACAAAGUUAAGGCUUUGGUUAAUAUGAGUGUGCCAUUUUCUCCAAGGAAUCCUAAGAGAAAACCAAUUGAGUCAUUGAAGGCUAUCUAUGGUGAUGACUAUUAUGUUGUUAGAUUCCAGGAGCCUGGAGUGAUGGAAGCAGAGUUUGCAAAAAUAGGCACUAAAAAAGUGUUGGGGAAAUUUUUAACUUAUAGGAACCCUGGACCAUUAUACAUGCCUAAAGGCAAGCCUUUUGAUGAUAGUCCAGUAAUUUUGCCCUCUUGGCUAUCACAAAAAGAAGUUGAUUAUUUUGCUAGCAAAUAUGAACAAACUGGCUUUACUGGUGGAUUUAAUUAUUACAGAGCACUUGACUUAAAUUGGGAAUUGACAGCAGCAUGGAGUGGUGCAAAAGUGAAAGUACCAGUAAAGUUCAUUGUGGGAGAUUUGGAUUUAACUUAUAAUGCCCCUGGAGCAAAAGACUAUAUAAACAAAGGUGGAAUGAAAAAAGAUGUGCCUUUGCUAGAAAAAGUGGUUAUAUUGGAAAAUGUUGGCCAUUUCCUUCAACAAGAAAAACCUGAUGAAAUUAACAAACACAUUCAUGAUUUCUUCAAGGGAUUUUCUUCUACUUGAAGGUUUGAAGAUUUAGCCCUUUCAAGUUUUGUAUUGGGGAUAAGUAGCUUUUGAUGUAAUUGAAUAAAGUACAUGUGAAGAAAGUGGUUAUGUUGGAAAGAC